AUUGAACGCUGGCGGCAGGCUUAACACAUGCAAGUCGAGCGGGGAAGGGUAGCUUGCUACCUGACCUAGCGGCGGACGGGUGAGUAAUGCUUAGGAAUCUGCCUAUUAGUGGGGGACAACAUUCCGAAAGGAAUGCUAAUACCGCAUACGCCCUACGGGGGAAAGCAGGGGAUCUUCGGACAUUGCGCUAAUAGAUGAGCCUAAGUCAGAUUAGCUAGUUGGUGGGGUAAAGGCCUACCAAGGCGACGAUCUGUAGCGGGUCUGAGAGGAUGAUCCGCCACACUGGGACUGAGACACGGCCCAGACUCCUACGGGAGGCAGCAGUGGGGAAUAUUGGACAAUGGGCGCAAGCCUGAUCCAGCCAUGCCGCGUGUGAAGAAGGCCUUUUGGUUGUAAAGCACUUUAAGCGAGGAGGAGGCUACUGGUAUUAAUACUACCGGAUAGUGGACGUUACUCGCAGAAUAAGCACCGGCUAACUCUGUGCCAGCAGCCGCCGUAA
Molecule: ribosomal RNA, 499 nt
Filed under: uncultured bacterium
Lineage: Bacteria
Description: partial 16S ribosomal RNA
Rfam family: Bacterial small subunit ribosomal RNA
Source: RNAcentral